CGUAGGGGGCGAGCGUUGUCCGGAUUCAUUGGGCGUAAAGAGCUCGUAGGCGGCUUACUAAGUCGAGUGUGAAACCUCCAGGCUCAACCUGGAGCCUGCACUUGAUACUGGUAUGGCUUGAGUCCGGUAGGGGACCACGGAAUUCCUGGUGUAGCGGUGAAAUGCGCAGAUAUCAGGAGGAACACCGGUGGCGAAGGCGGUGGUCUGGGCCGGCACUGACGCUGAGGAGCGAAAGCGUGGGGAGCGAACAGGAUUAGAUACCCUGGUAGUCCACGCCGUAAACGUUGGGCACUAGGUGUGGGGCCUUAUCAACGGGUUCCGUGCCGCAGCUAACGCAUUAAGUGCCCCGCCUGGGGAGUACGGCCGCAAGGCUA
RNAcentral lists this ribosomal RNA (374 nucleotides) under uncultured organism. RNAcentral describes it as "bacterial SSU rRNA". It matches the Rfam family "Bacterial small subunit ribosomal RNA", at positions 526 to 896 of the family's 1533-position model. The record is from RNAcentral.